UCUGCCUGGAGCAGCAGAGUUGACCUCUAGGUCAGAGGUCGUGAGUGCUAAGUCUCAAGGAGCACUGGUUCAGCAUUUAUUCAGUGUUCAUGACACUUGAUGAACAUAACUACAGUGAAUAAAAAGAAUCCAUUUUACUUGUCUAGCAAAAUAGGAGAGGGAAUGAACAAAGAAAGUGUAAUACAAAUGUCGGGCAGCUGUAAGGUUUUCAUGGCUGGCUUAGCCUGGUCAACCCUUACAUUUUUGCUCUGAAGAGACUUGCCAGAACGGUGGGAGAGAAAAUCUAAGCCCCAGUAGAGUGUUUUAUGUUACCAGAGGUCUUUGAGGUAGAAUGAACAUACAUUCUGUCCCCUUUCUACAGCGGGGAAGAGGACGAGGAAGCAUGGCUUGGGGACAGCAAUAUGCUCUGAGAUUAUUGCUGUUGCUCUGGUUGUGAGGCUGUUCUGUAUAGAGCAGCAGGGGCCAAGAUUGUUUCUGCAAUUGUCCUCUAACUUUCCUUGGUUGUUUCCUUUCCUUCACAUAGACUGUCUCUCUAGAUUC
Long non-coding RNA from Talpa occidentalis (Iberian mole), 540 nucleotides. RefSeq lists it as uncharacterized. NCBI's taxonomy places the organism in Eukaryota, Metazoa, Chordata, Mammalia, Eulipotyphla, Talpidae. The record is from RefSeq and is a predicted model, not a curated record. The transcript is spliced from 3 exons.